AUUAUUAUAGUAUAUAAAAUACACUAAAUUUAGAAUUUAAAAAAGAAGCAAUCUAAUAAUA
This 61-nucleotide transfer RNA is filed under the name Allobathynella sp. JHS-2017. Its description in RNAcentral is "tRNA-Leu". The record is from RNAcentral. Lineage: Eukaryota; Metazoa; Arthropoda; Malacostraca; Bathynellacea; Parabathynellidae.